UUAAGAUGCUGUCCAUUUUUGUCAGUGAUCUUACCUGAGUAUCAGAUGAGUAUCUCUUUUCAAGACAAGUGCUCAGGCUGAAAGUUUGAAGGAAAUAGAACAUUACUGUGAUAGUAUUCUGAGUUUACAUUUUAACUUCCAUUCAAAAUGUUACAUAAAUAGAAAAAGAACAUCUUUUUUACUCCUGCUAAGUGAUUAAAUAUGAUGAAAAUACAUUGUAGUGUCAAAAAUUGUUUAAAUAAUCCCUCCUCUGACCUUAAAAAUUUGGUGUUUAACGAAGACAAAGGCAGAGCAGAAAUUUACUUUACCAAGUUACCUCUAUUUUGCAAGACCUUCUAGUGAAUAUUGAAUUGUAUGGUAUCCUGUUCAUUUACACAUAGGGCAGCUGAAGCUGAGUAGCAUAGACCUAGGAUUAGAAUUCAGGAUUUGUCUCCUGUGCUUAAUUCCAUGGCGUCACACUACUUCUAUGAGACCUUUAGGGUUUUGUGAAUGUUUUCCUUGUUAAUUUUGACUGCAUACGCAUCAAUACCCAUUGAGUGGGUGUGUGAAUCUGUAAUACACAUAUGGCUAAUGCCAGUGCUUACUUUGGUAUAUACAUGACUAGAUACAGAACUUCAUAUUUCAGAGGAUAUACUUAACUUUUGACAUGAAAUUCUGAGGUCUCAUCUUUGAAAUACGAAUAGCGCUUUCCAGUAUAUUUGUGUUCAUGUUGGAAAGACGUUUGGAGUUUAUUAAAGACAACCAUGGUGAAGAGAGAAAUGCUGACCUAAGAGCAUUGAAAUGGCGUCCUACUAGUGCCAAAGCAGAAAUUCCACCAGCACAAACAGUAAAAGAAUGGUCUCGGAUUGGGAGUAAAAGAAAAC
RNAcentral lists this long non-coding RNA (863 nucleotides) under Apteryx owenii (little spotted kiwi). RNAcentral describes it as "lncRNA (ENSAOWG00000001367.1)". The record is from RNAcentral. Lineage: Eukaryota; Metazoa; Chordata; Aves; Apterygiformes; Apterygidae.